GGAUGUCAGAUUAGCUAGUUGGUGAGGUAACGGCUUACCAAGGCGACGAUCUGUAGCGGGUCUGAGAGGAUGAUCCGCCACACUGGAACUGAGACACGGUCCAGACUCCUACGGGAGGCAGCAGUGGGGAAUUUUGGACAAUGGGGGCAACCCUGAUCCAGCCAUGCCGCGUGAGUGAAGAAGGCCUUCGGGUUGUAAAGCUCUUUCGGCCGGGAAGAAAUCGCAUGGGCCAAUACCCUGUGUGGAUGACGGUACCGGAAUAAGAAGCACCGGCUAACUACGUGCCAGCAGCCGCGGUAAUACGUAGGGUGCGAGCGUUAAUCGGAAUUACUGGGCGUAAAGCGUGCGCAGGCGGUUUUGUAAGACAGGCGUGAAAUCCCCGGGCUCAACCUGGGAACUGCGUUUGUGACUGCAAGGCUAGAGUACGGCAGAGGGGGGUGGAAUUCCACGUGUAGCAGUGAAAUGCGUAGAGAUGUGGGGGAGCACCAAUGGCGAAGGCAGCCCCCUGGGUCGAUACUGACGCUCAUGCACGAAAGCGUGGGUAGCAAACAGGAUUAGAUACCCUGGUAGUCCACGCCCUAAACUAUGUCAACUAGGUGUUGGGUGGGUAAAACCAUUUAGUACCGUAGCUAACGCGUGAAGUUGACCGCCUGGGGAGUACGGCCGCAAGGUUAAAACUCAAAGGAAUUGACGGAGACCCGCACAAGCGGUGGAUGAUGUGGAUUAAUUCGAUGCAACGCGAAAAACCUUACCUACCCUUGACAUGCCAGGAACUUGCCAGAGAUGGCUUGGUGCCCGAAAGGGAGCCUGGACACAGGUGCUGCAUGGCUGUCGUCAGCUCGUGUCGUGAGAUGUUGGGUUAAGUCCCGCAACGAGCGCAACCCUUGUCGUUAAUUGCCAUCAUUUAGUUGGGCACUUUAGCGAGACUGCCGGUGACAAACCGGAGGAAGGUGGGGAUGACGUCAAGUCCUCAUGGCCCUUAUGGGUAGGGCUUCACACGUCAUACAAUGGUCGGUACAGAGGGUCGCCAAGCCGCGAGGUGGAGCCAAUCCCAGAAAGCCGAUCGUAGUCCGGAUUGCAGGCUGCAACUCGCCUGCAUGAAGUCGGAAUCGCUAGUAAUCGUGGAUCAGCAUGUCACGGUGAAUACGUUCCCGGGUCUUGUACACACCGCCCGUCACACCAUGGGAGCGGGUUCCGCCAGAAGUAGGUAGCCUAACCGCAAGGAGGGCGCUUACCACGGCGGGGUUCG
RNAcentral lists this ribosomal RNA (1249 nucleotides) under metagenome. Its description in RNAcentral is "bacterial SSU rRNA". It matches the Rfam family "Bacterial small subunit ribosomal RNA", at positions 231 to 1471 of the family's 1533-position model. The record is from RNAcentral.